GUAGUCGUCGGCGGGCCAGUGGCUAGGAAACGCCUCUCUAGCCACGGAGCCGCUUUUUCUCUAUGCUUAUAGCCUCCGCCGGCCGCCUUCCGAGUCCACCGCUCUUUGAAACCGAGGUCUGUCCUACAGCGCCACCUGGAGACUUAGGCCCAGUUCUUGGUGCUGUGUCAGUGCCGGCAUCGACAAACGGAGGUCCCACCGAGACCGGGAAAGAGAAGGUUUUCUGACAGGUCGUCCCGGGAAGCCGGCCAGCAAAGAAGGAGGGACGUAUUGGGGUAAGAUGGACUAGAAAAGGCCUCGGUGAUUUGGGCUAGCAUGAGUAAAACUUGUUUAAAAAAAAAGGUGGGGGGUGGAGGGACAAGGUAAUGGUAAAGUAUUUUUGCGUAUGUGUUCUUUUAGAGUUAUAUUUUAGUCUUUGGACCCUGACUAGAGAUAGUUUACACCCUAGACAUGAAAGAGAAUGGGUUUGAGAAAAACAGUUUUCCCAGACUCUCCACAGAUGCUUUGGAGAAAGAGAAGGAAAAUGAGCUUAAACUUUUUCAGAGCUCUCCUAGGGACAGAAGGAAGGCAGGAGACGUCCUGCCUCUUUGCUGGCUCCUAUUGGAGAAAUGCUUAUUUCUGGUUCUGGGUUCCAUAGGUAGUAUAUCUGUGUCCCUUAGGUGGGACACCAUCUAGUUCUUUCCCUCUAUGUCUAUUGUCUGUCCUUGGUGCACCAAGCUAUCCAUGUUUGUCAGUUUAUGUCUGUGGUUUUUGUUUAUGGUUGCUUAAAUGUUUUAUGUUUCAUGUUCAAAAUAAAAAAUGGUAAAAACUUUAUCUGCUGGUCAAUCACGACUUAAUUUGGUUUUAACUCAUUUCAAAAAAGGAGCAAAUAAAAAAAAAAUUUCAAUCGGCCUUUGGAGCCCUGCACCUGUAGCUAGGAGUCUAGGUCAGCUGGAGAAGCUCCCAGGGGCUGAGCCUCUACACGAGCUGAUCUUAAAGGUGCCAGCAGCUCCUCAGCUUCUAUGGUAAGGGAGCUGAUGGCUGUUUCUCUUAGAAAAAUCCAUGACUUAUUACUGGAUUUAGCAGGUGACAAGAUGCUUCUCUUAAAAUUACAGCUAGAAAAAGUAAAAAUGGUGUUUGGUCUAAAUAUUAAAGAUAUGUGUAGCCACUUCAUUUUUGUUCCUGAUUGGUUUUAAAUGUAUAAAUGUGCUCUAUAUGCCCUGGUUAUAGACUAUUGGCUUUUGGCAUUUUUUUUUUUUUGGUUCUUUUUUUCGGAGCUGGGGACCGAACCCAGGGCCUUGCGCUUCCUAGGUAAGCGCUCUACCACUGAGCUAAAUCCCCAGCCCCGACUAUUGGCUUUUAAGUUAUUGGGUAUGGUUAAAAAAAAUUGUAACAUUGGUAACAGAAAGUUGACUUAAAACUGGUAAUUUGGAUAGAGUCAUUGUAGACAAUGUGUGGCAUGAGCCAACCCAGGGAAAUAGGUCUAAAUUAGGAUAAUAUUUUUAUGGAAUUUUAUCCUAGAAACCAGGCAAUGUCUCUUUGUUGAGGUAUUGAAGACCACACCAUCAUGCAUUUAUAUGCAGGAAUUGGCAGUCAAACUUCACAACAUGAGGGAAAGACUUGGUGUUUUGAAGAAACUGGAUUUUGGAGACUAGAUUGUUUAGAGGUUGAAUUUUGCUUUCCAAAGUUGUGGUUGUGCUCUAGUGUUGCAAGGAGAACUUAUAGAUUGUGGUUAAAGAUUGCCAGUGUUACAUUGGCUAACUCACACAAAUUUGUAAUUAAGAAAAAAUCAAACAGAUAGAGAUUUUUAUGGAACUUGUGAGAGCAUUACAGCCUGUUUGCUUACUCCAACUGCCAUUUCAAGAUAGAUUUAGAGAUUUGUUUUUAUGCCAUUCUUUACAUUCUGGCGAUUGUGAAAGGUUUUCAUUUAGUGAGCUUGCUUAUAAUUUUAGAGAGGCCAUGAAAUGUUAUCAUUAAAAGGUUUUACAAAGGAAUGGCUAAUAGCCCUAUAUUAUGUAAUUUUGUCACUGCUUCAAUGUUAGAAGUUAGGACUUUGAAUCUUUCAGUGUAUAUGGAAAUUUUUACUACAAACCUUUACUCUCACAUGAGCUUUAAUAUUUGGGGAGUAGCUGUUGCUCCAGAAAAGAUUCAGUAUUGCUUUUCAAUAUUUGGAAUUAUUUUUAAAGCUUCUAAAGAUAUAUUAAUUGGCUAAGCCUCACCUUAAGCUUACCAUGGAGGACUUAAGACUUUGAUAUCCUCAAGGCAGAUGCAAAUCCUAAUUCCUCUAGACAAUUAACUGAUGAGGGAAGAAUAGCUUUGCAGAAAACAGAGAAAGCUAUGUGUCAACAACAGAUACAUUAAUUAUAUAGACUCUGAUCAAUUGUUGGUUGUUUGUACCUACAGUAGUCCAUUGGCAAAAGGGACCAUUAAUGUGGACUCACUUUUCUUCUUCAAGUAAAAGUUUUAAUGCCCUGUUAUGAAGCUGUUGUUGUGUUAAUACAGAAUUGUAGGAUAGAGUCAUGGAAGUAUUUUAAAAAGGAACCUGGUGAAACAUACCUUAUUCCAAACAGCAAUUAAAUUGGUUAUUACAAAAUACUGAUAUUUGACCUAUUACAUAUACAAUUUUUCAGGCAAAAUUGAUAAUUUUACUCUAUGCAUGCUUUUGUAUAUCCUGUAAAUUUGUGCAUGCAGCCCAUAGAAAAUACACUUACUGUAUUUAUAGAUGGUUCAUCUAAUGAGAAGGCAACAUAUAUAAUUGGAUUAGAUGUUUAUUCUCUUGAGUUUCCCCCUGCUUCAGCACAGAUUAUUGAAUUACGUGCUGUAGCCGCUGUUUUUUAAAUGUUGAAAAAUCAAGCUUUCAAUUCUUAUGCUGAUAGCCAAUGUGUGACUUAUGGUUUGCAUUAAUUUUUUUCCCUUUUUAGAUAUUGCUAGCCCUCAAAUUUUUACAGUUACUUAUGCUAUACAACUGAUUGGAGGCAAGUUUUCUGCAUGAAAUCAGUGAGUGAUGAUUUCAGUGUAAAUGUCUGACCACUCCCUGUCCUUUUAGAGCUCUGGCUCAGGAAACUGACUAAACAAAACCAUAGACUCAUACCUAACUUUUUGGAAAUAGUAAUGAAGUUGAUAGAACACCUUCACGAAAAGAGGAAGACUCCAUUUGCCCACUCUCAACUCCGGCCUCGCCCUGCCAGCUCAGGUAUUUCUAAGUAAGGCUGAACCUAGACAAUAUUUACAGGGCUUGGCAUUUCUAAUUAAUGUUUAAUGUUUAGGUAAAUAAAGCUUGUAUAGGAUUGUAGAUAUGGUUCAGAGGUUAAGAGAACUAAUCACUCUUCCAGAGAAUGUACUGUUCCUUUAUAGGCCAUUUAAGAACUCAGACUAGAUUGCCUAGACCCCUUAGUGAGGGAAGGCAAUGUUACCAGGCAGAUUAUAGGCCUUACAUAGGAACAAUUAGUCAAACAAUCUCAUUCUUUAUAUCACCAGAACAAUAAUGCUGGAGACAAUAAUUUGGUAUGGAAGUCAAAUUAUAAAUACAAGUCCUCAGUGUCCUCAGUUUCUUCCUGUAUCACAUAAUAGUGUUAAUCCUCGAGGACUUAUAAACAAUAUCUUAAUAAAUAAAAAGGGGGAGUUAUAUCCCUGUAUGCCAUACAAUUAUUUAAAUAAUGCUCUUUUUAUUUUAAAUUUUAAAAUUUAGAUGCCAAGGAACUCUCUGAGUGUUUAUGGCACCCUAUAAGUAGACAUGCUUAUGCCUAGGUGACAUGGAAGGAUCCACAUAUUGGCACAUGACAUGAUCCAGUUCAGGUAUUUUAUAUGGGGAAGAGGGAAUGUUUGUGUUUCUUCUACAGGAUGCUACAGGAGUGUGCCAGCUGCCAGAGUGGCUGGUGAGACAUGCUGAUGCUGGAAACAUAAAGAUUCCAGCUCUUGUGGUUCAGGCCCCUGGAGUCAUUCCUGUGCCCUUGGAGGAAGACGGAGGAUUCCCCCUCGUUUUGUGUUGUCACGGAAAUUAUAUUGCUGCAGUCAUUGUUACUGCCACUGCAUGUCCCGUCCAACCAUGGUCUGCACUCCCACCCUCUAUGCACCGCUGCAUACUUGUGGAGAAGACCAGACUCUAGACAUUACCCCUGCCCCUCCUCAGUCCCCCAGCGGCUGUUGCUGCCGUGACUGGUGUUGUCAUUUCACAGUCUGUGGCUUUGCAGGACUGCCAUCUGCGUGAAGCUGCUGGAGACUGGGGAACUCUGCCCUGGUUGUGCAGAUCUUAGGCAUGGCUCCAUUGCCUGCGAGUUGUUCCAGAGAAGGAUGGCCAAUCCUGAACUGUCAUGGGAAAGACUUUGGCAUCUUCGCUGCUAUUGUAACCGCCGUUGCUGCUGCAGCCACUGUGUCUGCAGUGUCUGGAAUUGCCCUCCCCCAAUCUGAUGUUAAGGCAAGCACAGUGGAUAAACUUUCUGGAGUAGUUGCUGACAAUUGAGAAUUCUAAAUUUAAAUCAACAGGAACAGCUUGACAAUGGCCCAAGGUGUUAUGGCCCUCCAUGUCUUGGCCCUAGGGCACCGAAGUAGUUGGCUUUGUGCUUCUCUUCACAUGCGCAAACAGCACUCCCAGUCCUGGGCAUCAACUAAGCAGGUGUUGCUCUCCUUGGUAGGAGGCAAACCCUCUGCCCAAAUCGGGCUCAGCCUUUACGAGAAGCAGUUAACCAAAGGGUCAACUUGGUCAACUCUUUGGGACCAAGCCUCACCUAAGACAGGAAAUUCUGAGACUGGCAGAGUUUUUCCAGAGACGGGAAAGAGGUUGCCACCCCAAAAUGUCCUAAGACAGGCGCUGCUUAAUAAAAUAUAAAAAAGGGGGAUUUGUCGGACACUCCUGGGUCCCCUGCAGUUUUUGACCUCUGCUGAGCCCUGCUGAUGCAAGUAGAAACCUUUUGUUCCUAACAAAGGAACGCCCUGGCCUGGUAGCCACAUGCCUGGGCGUACACCUGGGCCAUUCAUUCCUGUCUUUUGUUCUCAGUCUUUGUUCCUGGGACUCAGGCUGGUCUUCCUGGAUCUCUCCCAGUAAAUUUGAGGCAUGUGUUUGGUCUUUUGUGCCUGAAGCCUUAAGCCGGGUUUUCCCACUGUGCUUCCUGGAAUUUUCCACCUGGUGAACUUGGGGUAUAUAUUCGGUGAAUAAAGCUACAGAUUUGGAAUUCUCUUUUAACACGAA
Molecule: non-coding RNA, 5164 nt
Organism: Rattus norvegicus (Norway rat)
Lineage: Eukaryota; Metazoa; Chordata; Mammalia; Rodentia; Muridae
Source: RefSeq, a predicted model, not a curated record